GCAUGGCAUGUAUCCAUCACAUACCGACAUGUCUGAUGUUCUAUGAGUGGGUUUCCCCUCGUGAGCUAAUGGCUAGUUGGUGGUGCUUGAUCUUUGCAAUGGGACGACGCAUGAGUGGUGAUUAGGAUGUGUUUUCAUGCAGGCUCUUCGUAUGAUGCAUUGAACUGUGUGGAGCUAUCCGUUUCAUUAAUCCAUUGUGUCGGCUUGUAUUUGCUCGUUGUGAAAUGAUCUGGUGGUUUCUGUGUUGGCUACCGAUUUUGGUAUGCGGAAUUGAUGGAUUCCGUUGUGCUUUGUUCUUUCUGCCACCGGCCUGUUCGGCAAAGGUGGACGUUGCAUCGGUCUCCCAUGUUCCACGCAAGCUAUCCUUCCAUGGGUGGGAUUUGUGAUGGCUCAUGGGUGGCUGUCUAUGCUCUUGGGUGUGUGAAAUAUUCGGUUGUUGUCCGGGUCUUUUGACCUGUACGUAUAAUUUCUCGAGCAUUUAGCUCUGCUUUGUAUGACCCUCAUGCUUGUUCCCGAGCUCAUCGAGCCUUAGUGCUUGCUGUUCAUCACGGAGAUGCCGAGGUCUAUGAGGAAAGC
This 576-nucleotide unclassified non-coding RNA is filed under the name Mouriri sagotiana. RNAcentral's name for it is "partial external transcribed spacer". Lineage: Eukaryota; Viridiplantae; Streptophyta; Magnoliopsida; Myrtales; Melastomataceae. The record is from RNAcentral.